Oryza sativa Japonica Group (Japanese rice) is the source of this 2980-nucleotide non-coding RNA. Lineage: Eukaryota; Viridiplantae; Streptophyta; Magnoliopsida; Poales; Poaceae. The record is from RefSeq and is a predicted model, not a curated record.
UCCGGGUGGCGGAAUUACUAAAUUACCUUCGCCAUUUUGACGUGUAGUUGGCCUCUGUCGUCAGUUUGCCCGCCGCCGCCGCCGCCUCCGCCUCCGCUGACCGCGAGCGAGCAGGGCGCCGUCGUUCGUCCUGUUGCUUCCGCGGUUCCGCCGCAUCCUGCCCAAGCUUGUUGGCACCAUGGAUGAAUCACGAAAAAGAGCCGCAUCUACUGCAAAUGCUAAAAGUUCAUCCCUUGGUGAAGAUUUUGGCAAUGAUUUUCUUUCAUCUUGGAAAUUACCAAAAUCAGGAAAUGACACGAUUGACUUUGACGUUGAGUCAGUUCCGAAGAAUAGCAAGAAAUUCAGCUUUGACAACCUGGAUGAUUUUGGGCUUGAUGGAGCCUUUGACAAAUUGUCGUCAUUUAAAAUGGGCAUGUCUGAUCUAGAUUUCUCUGGUCCUCUCAAGAAAAAGGUGAAGCCCAACAACUCAAAUGGCAACGAUCUUUCUGAAGGGAUAAAAGGGACUGAAAAGGACAACUUCUCCUUUUCCUUUGAUUUCAAUGAGCUGGGCAAGUUCAAUCUUGAUGCUAACUUGGGAAUUGAGGAGAAUGGUAUGAGUAAAUUUGUAGAAAAGGUCAACCCUGUCUCUUCAGAGGGUGACAAGGAUCCAAGAAAAGGUCUUUCAGUUAAGGGCUCUGAUGUUCUGGGAGGUAACAUUAGUAAGGAACAAAAGCAAACACAUGAUGCUUGUACUCUGAGGCCUACUCAUUUGGGAAGCUUUAGCCCUGCAAGAAUGGACCAAAAUAAAGUAGAUUUGCUCUCAACUGAUACACAUGAAGAGAAAUCUAAUGAGACACACCCAUCAAGAGCAGCUGUUAACAAGCCUUCUCAGAAUCUUCCUUGCAGUUCUACACCUGGUGAAGAUCCUACACACGUGACUACAACAGCAGUUGCUGAGAACUGUAGAGAAGCUCCUUUGGUGGAACUUAGUAAAGUUCAUAUAUCAAGGGGGAAUAAUGAUAGUGGGCAAUCAGUUAGUUCACAAUUCAUGAACACCAGCACCACGUGCCCCUCCAUCUCAAGAAAAUUGACGGCCCAAUCAGAUUCCCAAAAUGACCAGAAUGAGAUUGUGGGGGAAAGUGCAUGUCUUAAUGCACAAAGUCCUGAUAACCAAAGGUUUAGAGGAACUUCAAUGAAGCUUCUGAAGAAAACAUCAUGUGAAACAAAGAAGGCUGAAAAGGGGACUUCAGGUCCAAAGAGUCUCUCUUCAUCAAUGCAGAGGGAUAUGAGAAAUGUCAAACCCGCAUCAUUGAAUGAAGCAGGGAGUUUGUCUCUUCCGCCCCAGUCUUCAAUUGUUAAAGCAAGCAGGCCUCCUCAACUAACUUCUGAAACAACCUUAAAUCAAUUAAGUAGUGCCAAUAACAUGGUAAAAAAGAUGAAUACACAUUCUACUGAGUUGAAAAGGGAAAGCACACAAGCUAAUGCAAGAUCUGAAAGGCCUAAAAUUGCUUCGUCAAAAACAUUCUGCAAGCCAGCAUUACAUGAGCUGUUGACCACCUCCAUGAAUGCCAAAGAUCAUAAGAAUUCCAAACUUAGACUUGAGUCUCCUAGCACAGGCAAUGUUUCUACACUGAAUGCUCCUAGCAGCCCAGCACAUAGCAAUGGACAUAAGACCGUUGCGAGUCGGUCACUCUUGGGAAGUACCAAUGUUUUUGAUGCAGGAAAAGGCACUCCUAAAGCUGACAAUAGACCACUUUCUCAACUGAAAGCAGCAAAAAUUACUAAAGCAGGCACCAUAAGUUCAAAGUCUGACUUGCUUCUGGAGAAGGAUAUGAUGGAAACGAGCGGGAGGAAGGGUUCCCCUGUAACAACAUCCAAUAACCCAAAGUCCUAUGGUGAAGGAAAAUAUGUGUUGCCUAGCCCAUCCAUGAUGCAAAAGACUCCUAAGGAAUCAGCUUCAGAUCCAAAAGCUCCUGCUAUGCUGAAGCACAUCAUGAAAUCUCCAGCUGUGAGAACAUCACCAGAAACUGUUUCAGAGUUGGGAAAUAAAACAAUUCCAGGAAGUGGAACUCCAAAAGCACGCAUGGAUAAUGCCAUUGCUUCAGCAAUAUCAUGUGAGAUGGGGGAAAUUUCUGAACUAGAGUUGCCUGCGCUGUUAGAAAAUGAUGUAAAUGUACAAAAAGCUGAGGCUUGUAGAAAGGAGCUUGAAGAUAAAGGAAAAAAAGAGUUAUGCAUUUCGUUGAAAAGGAAACAUGAAGAAGCCAAAGAGCUAGCAGUGCGGGCUAUUGUUAACAACAAUACAAUGCUGAUGUUAAACCAUCCAAUGUUUGAGGAUAAAAUUUGUGCUCUUCAGAAAUUUGCUAGCAAUCUGAGAUCCAAGAAGGUUUUAUUCGAGGAUAUUAGUGCCAUUGAUGCUCAUUAAUGUGAGACUAAAAUGGAGUGACUGUGCUUCACCCAGGAAGAACACCGGUACUGUAAAUGCAAUUGGUAGGCGAUGUACCCGUCGACAGCAAGGCGUCUGUGUUGACUUUAUCAAUCUAUAGGAUGGAUUUGCCGGCCCAGUCUUCGAAGAUACUCAUAGGGGUAGAGUUUGCGUGCGUUCAUAGGGUGGAAGAUUUUAGGGCGUGCUGAAGAAGCUGACAGGAUGAUGGAUUUAGAAGAGAAGAUGAAGAUCGUUGCUGCUAAUACUGGAAGUAAUAGAUUGGGGAUAGGUUGAUUCCUUGUUUUUAGAGUUGUCUUGGUUGCCACAGUUCUGCCUGUCUUCUGUCUUGGUUUGUCUUGGUUGUGUGUUUCUUAUCUGAUGUCUGCUAUGUUUAGCAGCAGUCCCUACUGUCUCUUUUGUCUUAGAGUUGGUCUUAGAGGUGGUAGCUUGCUCGAGUCCUUUUGCACUUUGUUAGAGGUCUCGCCCUCCCUAUGUUGUAAACUAAUGUCUGGAUUUCCCAGCACAACCUUCGGGCUUUCAAUAGAAGCCAGGUCUCUGACCUUUUUCUAUUAAAAAAAA